This 449-nucleotide ribosomal RNA is filed under the name uncultured prokaryote. Its description in RNAcentral is "bacterial SSU rRNA". It matches the Rfam family "Bacterial small subunit ribosomal RNA", at positions 355 to 796 of the family's 1533-position model. The record is from RNAcentral.
UGGGGAAUAUUGGACAAUGGGCGAAAGCCUGAUCCAGCCAUGCCGCGUGUGUGAAGAAGGCCUUCGGGUUGUAAAGCACUUUCAGCGAGGAAGAAGGCCUGACGGCCAAUACCCGUCAGGAGCGACAUCACUCGCAGAAGAAGCACCGGCUAACUCCGUGCCAGCAGCCGCGGUAAUACGGAGGGUGCGAGCGUUAAUCGGAAUUACUGGGCGUAAAGCGCGCGUAGGUGGCGUGAUAAGCCGGUUGUGAAAGCCCCGGGCUCAACCUGGGAACGGCAUCCGGAACUGUCAGGCUAGAGUGCAGGAGAGGAAGGUAGAAUUCCCGGUGUAGCGGUGAAAUGCGUAGAGAUCGGGAGGAAUACCAGUGGCGAAGGCGGCCUUCUGGACUGACACUGACACUGAGGUGCGAAAGCGUGGGUAGCAAACAGGAUUAGAUACCCCCGUAGUCC